This 73-nucleotide ribozyme is filed under the name Rodentolepis nana. Its description in RNAcentral is "Hymenolepis nana HDV ribozyme from F. prausnitzii". It matches the Rfam family "HDV ribozyme from F. prausnitzii". The record is from Rfam by way of RNAcentral. Lineage: Eukaryota; Metazoa; Platyhelminthes; Cestoda; Cyclophyllidea; Hymenolepididae.
GGGGUGUGCAAUAGACUUACCUCCACGUGGUACACCCUGGGCAACGUAUUCUCAUACGGCAAAAAAAGUCUAU